RNAcentral lists this ribosomal RNA (486 nucleotides) under uncultured bacterium. Its description in RNAcentral is "partial 16S ribosomal RNA". It matches the Rfam family "Bacterial small subunit ribosomal RNA", at positions 28 to 523 of the family's 1533-position model. The record is from RNAcentral.
GAUGAACGCUGGCGGCGUGCUUAACACAUGCAAGUCGAACGGAAAGGCCUCAGCUUGCUGGGGUACUCGAGUGGCGAACGGGUGAGUAACACGUGGGUGAUCUGCCCUGCACUUUGGGAUAAGCUUGGGAAGCUGGGUCUAAUACCGAAUAUGACCGCUUCUUGGAUGUUGUGGUGGAAAGCUUUUGCGGUGUGGGAUGAGCCUGCGGCCUAUCAGCUUGUUGGUGGGGUAAUGGCCUACCAAGGCGGCGACGGGUAUCCGGCCUGAGAGGGUGUACGGACACAUUGGGACUGAGAUACGGCCCAGACUCCUACGGGAGGCAGCAGUGGGGAAUAUUGCACAAUGGGCGCAAGCCUGAUGCAGCGACACCGCGUGGGGGAUGAAGGCCUUCGGGUUGUAAACUCCUUUCGCUAUCGACGAAGCCACUUGUGGUGACGGUAGGUAGAUAAGAAGCACCGGCUAACUACGUGCCAGCAGCCGCCGUAA